UGGGGAAUUUUGGACAAUGGGCGCAAGCCUGAUCCAGCCAUGCCGCGUGCGGGAAGAAGGCCUUCGGGUUGUAAACCGCUUUUGUCAGGGAAGAAAUCUUCUGAGUUAAUACCUCGGGAGGAUGACGGUACCUGAAGAAUAAGCACCGGCUAACUACGUGCCGGCAGCCGCGGUAAUACGUAGGGUGCAAGCGUUAAUCGGAAUUACUGGGCGUAAAGCGUGCGCAGGCGGUUUUGUAAGACAGAGGUGAAAUCCCCGGGCUCAACCUGGGAACUGCCUUUGUGACUGCAAGGCUUGAGUGCGGCAGAGGGGGAUGGAAUUCCGCGUGUAGCAGUGAAAUGCGUAGAUAUGCGGAGGAACACCGAUGGCGAAGGCAAUCCCCUGGGCCUGCACUGACGCUCAUGCACGAAAGCGUGGGGAGCAAACAGGAUUAGAUACCCUGGUAGUCCACGCCCUAAACGAUGUCAACUGGUUGUUGGGAAGGUUCCUUCUCAGUGACGUAGCUAACGCGUNAAGUUGACCGCUGGGAGUACGGCCGCAAGGUUGAAAGCUCAAAUGAAUUGACGGGGGCUCAU
This 575-nucleotide ribosomal RNA is filed under the name uncultured bacterium. Its description in RNAcentral is "partial 16S ribosomal RNA". It matches the Rfam family "Bacterial small subunit ribosomal RNA", at positions 355 to 924 of the family's 1533-position model. The record is from RNAcentral.